Molecule: ribosomal RNA, 531 nt
Filed under: Bacillus sp. LT60
Lineage: Bacteria; Bacillati; Bacillota; Bacilli; Caryophanales; Bacillaceae
Description: bacterial SSU rRNA
Rfam family: Bacterial small subunit ribosomal RNA
Source: RNAcentral
UCGAGCGGACAGAUGGGAGCUUGCUCCCUGAUGUUAGCGGCGGACGGGUGAGUAACACGUGGGUAACCUGCCUGUAAGACUGGGAUAACUCCGGGAAACCGGGGCUAAUACCGGAUGCUUGUUUGAACCGCAUGGUUCAAACAUAAAAGGUGGCUUCGGCUACCACUUACAGAUGGACCCGCGGCGCAUUAGCUAGUUGGUGAGGUAAUGGCUCACCAAGGCAACGAUGCGUAGCCGACCUGAGAGGGUGAUCGGCCACACUGGGACUGAGACACGGCCCAGACUCCUACGGGAGGCAGCAGUAGGGAAUCUUCCGCAAUGGACGAAAGUCUGACGGAGCAACGCCGCGUGAGUGAUGAAGGUUUUCGGAUCGUAAAGCUCUGUUGUUAGGGAAGAACAAGUACCGUUCGAAUAGGGCGGUACCUUGACGGUACCUAACCAGAAAGCCACGGCUAACUACGUGCCAGCAGCCGCGGUAAUACGUAGGUGGCAAGCGUUGUCCGGAAUUAUUGGGCGUAAAGGGCUCGCAGG